CUCAGGUCACUAAAGUUGUAUACCUACUGAUUAUGGGUGCCUCUGCUGACUCAUGCUGGUUGUCAGGGAAGUGGAAGAAAGCCAGCAGUUACAGGACUCACUCAGCACUCACACAAACUGAAGGGCCCGGUCUCACUCCUACCGUGCCCCCCACAACAGCCCUGAGUCUGUUUCCAGGUGGUGGGCGAGAGGGGUUUGAAAAUUUGCCCCAGGCUAUCCGCCUCCCAGCUGGGCAAGAAAAGGGCGUGGUUGUUCCCCCACUGAGGAGUCUGCACACCGGAUUUGCAUCUUCCCCUGAGUUCUGGCCUGGAGGCUUCUCGCCCCUGCAAAUUGUUACAAAGUUCAGCUAGAGGGUUCCUUCUUCCUGUGGAGUUUUACCUUCUGCUCCUCUGGCCACCCUCCUGAUGGAUCCCUGUGGUGCCAGGCAGGAAUGACCUGCUUAAGGACCCAGCGAGCUCCCAGGACCUUUCUGCUGCUUCCUCUACCCGUAUAUUUUGCUUGCUUCUCUACAUUGACUCAGCUCCAGCGAUUCCUGAGGAAUCUCAUCCACACUACCCUAUGGACUAAAAGGAAAAGCUCUUCAUGUGGUGUUAGCACGGAGAUGAGAAAGAGAGAAAGACAACAUCAUGCUUUGCUGUCUGUGUGUGAACUGAGUAACAGCUGUGAAGGAUCAGUCACCAAAAGACUUUGAAAGAAGAGGCUUGAUUGGUCACGGCCAUGGAAGUUUAAUUGGGAGAAAAGAACAUCUGCUUAUACGAAAACAUAUUAUAUUCAGCCAUCCCUGCCCUGACUUUGGCCUUUAAAAACAGUGGCAUUAAUUAUCUCAACAAAUGAAUCUUCGGGAUAAAAAUAAUCUAAAUAUUAUUUUACGCUUACUACAUAUUUGCAACGUGCUAAGCUCUUUAUGGUUGCUACCACAAAAAACAUUUAUAAUAUGAGACUUCACAAGGUUAGGAACAGGCUUCACUUCAUUGUGAUGUGUGUAAGGUGACAGAGGACAUAUAACGAAUACGUGGAAGAACUAGGAAUUUGACCUUAGCUUCCAGACAUUUUGAGGAGGAUACACUAUGUCCAUCUUGCUUUCCUAUCAAGAAAAGUAUACCCAGUUUGUGCAGUAGCCCUGUACCAACAGAUACAUUACAGCAG
RNAcentral lists this long non-coding RNA (1146 nucleotides) under Homo sapiens (human). Its description in RNAcentral is "HSALNT0102555". Lineage: Eukaryota; Metazoa; Chordata; Mammalia; Primates; Hominidae. The record is from RNAcentral.